ACCAAGGGUACAAGGUUGGAUGAAGCCGAGGUGUGUGGAAGUUGUGCCGUCGCUGCCGGGUGGCCCAGUGGCCAAGGAGGAUUCUGCAAGCUGUAUAGGUCGUUUGAGAACACAUGAGGAACUCCUACUACAUUGUUCUGCUGACUAUAUUCCAGCUUUAAGAAAGCCUGGGAAGAGAUUAGGACACUGUCGCACACAGUGGGAAGAACACGUGAGGACACAGUGAAAAGAUGGACAUCUAUCUACAAGCCAAGGAGAGAGGCCUCAGAAGAAACCAACUCUACCAACUUCUAGCCGUCAGAAUGAGUAAAGGGAAAGAACCACGUUACCUGUCAACGCUGAGAGCGCAGAGAUUGAGGACGGUGAUCCCCACUGAGGACUUCUGCAAAAAGGGGAACAACUUGCAGAGAAAUACGCCAAAGUCAUUGUGAUCAAAAGGCCAGCGCCCAGCCAGCAGCUGAAAAAAGGAAAGAGCAUGGGAGAAGCUAAACUAUACGGGAAAUUUGCCCAGUGAGCUAUAAGCACCAUACUGUAAACCCGGGCUAUAAGUAAAAUGCAGGAGAAACCAGUAGGUAAGUGGCUAUUUUAAGCUUCCAGUCAAGGGUCUGUUAUAAAUCAUAGUGUAAAAUGAAGAAUUAAAAGAUUUGAAAAUGAGUUUGAUCCUACUUUGUCUUAUUUCCAGUCAUUUGGAAAUGAGAUAACAUUAAAUUGUAUAAGUCAAGAAUAACAGAUUUUAACCUAGUUUUACUUCUCAGUCUUGAUAUUCGACACAUACUGUAUCUCCAUGGUAAGUAUUUUGUUUAUUUUUAGUGCUACCUAGAACAGAAAACAUACAAAUUUGGGGUCUAAUGUAAUUAGCCUACUAAUUAGCUGGGCUUCCUUUCCUAGACACUUGAGUACUGAGAGAGACUUGUACCAUUUCCUUGAGAUUAGGGCCAAUGUUCUAUUUCCUUUUCAGCUCUCUCAGAACACUUGGUACAUUGUUUUACAUGCAGCAAUUGUCUAAGGAAUACUGACUGCCAUGAAAAUCAGUGACUUAAGCAAAUGUUAUUAAGACAAGUUUGGUAAACAACAUUUAUCUUAGAUAUGAAAAAUUACAUCAUUUUAGACUUUGGACAGGUGCUUAGGGACCAUCUAGAUCAGUGGUUCUCUAAGUGUUGCCUGAGGACCCCUGGAGAUCCCUUUUCACAGUUCAGGAGAACCUUUCAUAGGACCUGCAAGGUCAAGAUAAUGCUGAGAUGACUGCCUUUUCUACUGGUUGACAUUUGCAUUAUUGGUGCAAACUGUUCUAAGAGUCAUUGCAUUCUUCACCAUCACACACUAGCUGUGGAAAAAAGUUGAUGCUGCAAGUAUAAUGGUGAGGACUUCAGCAAGGUCAUAGGCUACCACAGCAAUAUACAAACAUUGGUUGCAUUUGUAUAUACUAGAAAUGAAAAAUGAAAUUGAGACAAUUCCAUUCAAAAUAGCAUCAAAAAAAGAAUAAAAUACUUAGGAAUAAAUUUAACUAAAGAAGUAUAAGACAUGUUUGCUGAAAGCUACCAAAUACUGGAGAAAUCAAAGACCUAAAUAAAUGUUUUUGCAUUGGAAGGAUGAGCAUUGUUAAGAUGGCAAUUUUCUCUAAGUUCAUCCAAAGAGUCAAUACAAUUCCUAGGUAAAUUCAAGGAAAUUAGCAAGUUGAUCUUAAAAUUUAUAUAGAAAUGUAAAGGACCCAGAAUAGCCAAAAAUUUUUUGAAAAAAAAAAUCCAACAAAGUAGGACUUAUAGUACCUGUUUAAAAACUUACUAUAAACUACAGUAAUCAAGGCAGGAUGGUACUGACAUAACAAUAGACACAUAAGUCAUUGGACUAGAAAAGAAAAGACAGAAAUAAACCCUUACAUUUAUCAUCAAUUAAGUUUUAACAAAGGUGCCAAGGCAGUUCUUUGAGGAGACGAUAGUCUUUUCAGUAAAUGGUGUUGGGACAAUUGGAUAUGUGUAUGCAAAAAAGUGAACUUAGAAGCUUACCUCAUAUACUACACAAAAAUUAAUUGUGAUCAUAGAUCUAAAUGUAAUGGCUAAAAUUAUAAAACUGUUAAAAAAACAUAAGAGAAUUUUUUGUGAUUUUGGCUUAGGUAAAGAUUUCAUAGAUAUGACACAGAAACAUGUCCAUAAAAGAAAAAAAUCUGAUAAAUUGGAUUUCAUCAAAAUUUUAAAAUUUUGCUCUUCAAAAGACAGCAUUUAGAAAAUGAAAAG
Aethalodelphis obliquidens (Pacific white-sided dolphin) is the source of this 2231-nucleotide long non-coding RNA. RefSeq lists it as uncharacterized. The transcript is spliced from 4 exons. The record is from RefSeq and is a predicted model, not a curated record. NCBI's taxonomy places the organism in Eukaryota, Metazoa, Chordata, Mammalia, Artiodactyla, Delphinidae.